CGAGGCGGACGGGUGACCGCCGGCGAAGUAAAUAGCGUUGGAGGAAAGUCCGGGCUCCAAAGAGCAGGGCGCUGGGUAACACCCAGUCGGGGCGACCCGAAGGAAAGUGCCACAGAAAAUAACCGCCCGGCAGCGGCUAUAUCCGGAGAGCAGCUGUCAGGUAAGGGUGAAAAGGUGGGGUAAUAGCCCACCGGCGGCCGGGUGACCGGCCGGCCAGGUAAACCCCG
Molecule: RNase P RNA, 227 nt
Filed under: Chloroflexota bacterium
Lineage: Bacteria; Bacillati; Chloroflexota
Description: Chloroflexi bacterium partial RNase P RNA component class A
Rfam family: Bacterial RNase P class A
About the family: Ribonuclease P (RNase P) is a ubiquitous endoribonuclease, found in archaea, bacteria and eukarya as well as chloroplasts and mitochondria.
Source: RNAcentral